AACCCUGAAAAUGACUACCUGACUGCUCCAAUGGGGAGAAGUUCAAGCUGGAGCCCCCCACUAGCUCCCCUCCAGAGACUUUGACCCAGGCCAGGACACCUACCACCACUCCCUUGCUGAGAGCAGCUCAGUCAAGGUGAAGGGAAACUGCACCACUGACCACAUCAGUGCCGACAGGCCCUAGCUGAAAUUUCACAGCCAUCUGAACAACAUCUUCAACAAUCUGCUGAUCGGUGCGGCCAACAUCGAGAACGCCGCCGUCAACAAGAUCAAGAACCAGCUGACGGGAGAGUAUGGUGGGGUGCCAGAUGUGGCUCGCUACUACAAGGCUAACGGAGCGAGCUGGGUGGUAGUUGGUGACGAGAACUGUGGAGAGGGAUCCAGCAGAGAGCACGCUGCCCAAGAGCCACGACACCUGGGAGGACGCGCCAUCAUCAUUAAGAGCUUUG
Molecule: long non-coding RNA, 449 nt
Organism: Pelmatolapia mariae (spotted tilapia)
Lineage: Eukaryota; Metazoa; Chordata; Actinopteri; Cichliformes; Cichlidae
Exons: 3
Source: RefSeq, a predicted model, not a curated record